RNAcentral lists this ribosomal RNA (51 nucleotides) under Bipolaris maydis (southern corn leaf blight pathogen). RNAcentral describes it as "partial 28S ribosomal RNA". Lineage: Eukaryota; Fungi; Ascomycota; Dothideomycetes; Pleosporales; Pleosporaceae. The record is from RNAcentral.
UUGACCUCGGAUCAGGUAGGGAUACCCGCUGAACUUAAGCAUAUCAAAGAC